RNAcentral lists this transfer RNA (60 nucleotides) under Laqueus rubellus. RNAcentral's name for it is "tRNA-His". The record is from RNAcentral. Lineage: Eukaryota; Metazoa; Brachiopoda; Rhynchonellata; Terebratulida; Laqueidae.
GCUUAAAUAGUCUAAAUUAAGAUUUUAGGAUGUGGCCCUGAAGAUACUAAGUUUUAAGUC